This 468-nucleotide ribosomal RNA is filed under the name uncultured bacterium. RNAcentral's name for it is "partial 16S ribosomal RNA". It matches the Rfam family "Bacterial small subunit ribosomal RNA", at positions 28 to 507 of the family's 1533-position model. The record is from RNAcentral.
GACGAACGCUGGCGGCGUGCUUAACACAUGCAUGUCGAACGGAAAGGCCCUGCUUUUGUGGGGUGCUCGAGUGGCGAACGGGUGAGUAACACGUGAGUAACCUGCCCUUGACUUUGGGAUAACUUCAGGAAACUGGGGCUAAUACCGGAUAGGAGCUCCUGCUGCAUGGUGGGGGUUGGAAAGUUUCGGCGGUUGGGGAUGGACUCGCGGCUUAUCAGCUUGUUGGUGGGGUAGUGGCUUACCAAGGCUUUGACGGGUAGCCGGCCUGAGAGGGUGACCGGCCACAUUGGGACUGAGAUACGGCCCAGACUCCUACGGGAGGCAGCAGUGGGGAAUAUUGCACAGUGGGCGGAAGCCUGAUGCAGCAACGCCGCGUGCGGGAUGACGGCCUUCGGGUUGUAAACCGCUUUCGCCUGUGACGAAGCGUGAGUGACGGUAAUGGGUAAAGAAGCACCGGCUAACUACGUG